This 761-nucleotide ribosomal RNA is filed under the name uncultured Ruegeria sp. RNAcentral describes it as "bacterial SSU rRNA". It matches the Rfam family "Bacterial small subunit ribosomal RNA", at positions 31 to 847 of the family's 1533-position model. The record is from RNAcentral. Lineage: Bacteria; Pseudomonadati; Pseudomonadota; Alphaproteobacteria; Rhodobacterales; Roseobacteraceae.
UGACGCUGGCGGCAGGCUAACACAUGCAAGUCGAGCGCGCCUUCGGGUGAGCGGCGGACGGGUUAGUAACGCGUGGGAACGUGCCCUUCUCUACGGAAUAGCCUCUGGAAACGGAGAGUAAUACCGUAUACGCCCUUUGGGGGAAAGAUUUAUCGGAGAAGGAUCGGCCCGCGUUAGAUUAGGUAGUUGGUGGGGUAACGGCCUACCAAGCCUACGAUCUAUAGCUGGUUUUAGAGGAUGAUCAGCAACACUGGGACUGAGACACGGCCCAGACUCCUACGGGAGGCGGCAGUGGGGAAUCUUAGACAAUGGGGGCAACCCUGAUCUAGCCAUGCCGCGUGAGUGAUGAAGGCCUUAGGGUCGUAAAGCUCUUUCGCCUGUGAUGAUAAUGACAGUAGCAGGUAAAGAAACCCCGGCUAACUCCGUGCCAGCAGCCGCGGUAAUACGGAGGGGGUUAGCGUUGUUCGGAAUUACUGGGCGUAAAGCGCGCGUAGGCGGAUUAGAAAGUUGGGGGUGAAAUCCCGAGGCUCAACCUCGGAACUGCCUCCAAAACUGCUAGUCUAGAGUUCGAGAGAGGUGAGUGGAAUUCCGAGUGUAGAGGUGAAAUUCGUAGAUAUUCGGAGGAACAACAGUGGCGAAGGCGGCUCACUGGCUCGAUACUGACGCUAAGGUGCCGAAGUGUGGGGACCAACCAGGAUAGAUACCUGGUAAUCCCCACCGUAAACGUGAAUGCCAGUCGUCGAAAGAUACCAUUCGGGGAC